Molecule: long non-coding RNA, 278 nt
Filed under: Lathyrus oleraceus (garden pea)
Lineage: Eukaryota; Viridiplantae; Streptophyta; Magnoliopsida; Fabales; Fabaceae
Description: Pisum sativum (pea) long non-coding RNA (PSAT_LNC015638)
Source: RNAcentral
CGGUCAGUCAGUGGAAAGGGUUCCAUCUUUCUGAACCUUUACGCUUUGUCAUGAGUUCACCCUGUCCAAGGUUAAGAGCUAUGAGGUCGUUAUGGGGUUGCCCUUUUGAUCUGCUCACCCUAACGUUUAAUGUCAUUGGUUAAGAGCCCAUUUGAUUACCUUUCCAUGGCUUGUUUGUCGAGGUUGAUAUGACCCCUUUUGACUAAAGCCCUACCCAUGUAUGUUUGAGCCCCCUUGUUGGUGCGUUUACUUUAUGCUAUAUGUUUUUUUGUGGUGUG